CCUACGGGAGGCAGCAGUGGGGAAUAUUGCACAAUGGGGAAAACCUGGUUCAACGACGCCGCGUGGGUGGAGGAGGAAUUCGGUAUGGAAAGCUCCAUCAGCCGGGGAGAAAAUGACGGUUCCUUAGUAAGAAAGCCCGGCUAACUACGUUCCCGCCGCCGCGGUAAUACGGAGGGGGCAAGCGUUAUCCGGAUUUACUGGGUGUAAAGGGAGCGUAGACGGCAGUGCAAGUCUGGAGUGAAAGGCGGGGGCUCAACCCCCGGACUGCUCUGGAAACUGUACGGCUGGAGUGCAGGAGAGGUAAGUGGAAUUCCUAGUGUAGCGGUGAAAUGCGUAGAUAUUAGGAGGAACACCAGUGGCGAAGGCGGCUUACUGGACUGUAACUGACGUUGAGGCUCGAAAGCGUGGGGAGCAAACAGGAUUAGAUACCCCUGUAGUC
RNAcentral lists this ribosomal RNA (439 nucleotides) under uncultured bacterium. Its description in RNAcentral is "partial 16S ribosomal RNA". It matches the Rfam family "Bacterial small subunit ribosomal RNA", at positions 338 to 795 of the family's 1533-position model. The record is from RNAcentral.